This 443-nucleotide ribosomal RNA is filed under the name Pseudomonas sp. oral taxon D11. RNAcentral describes it as "bacterial SSU rRNA". It matches the Rfam family "Bacterial small subunit ribosomal RNA", at positions 30 to 472 of the family's 1533-position model. Lineage: Bacteria; Pseudomonadati; Pseudomonadota; Gammaproteobacteria; Pseudomonadales; Pseudomonadaceae. The record is from RNAcentral.
AUUGAACGCUGGCGGCAGGCCUAACACAUGCAAGUCGAGCGGUAGAGAGGAGCUUGCUCCUCUUGAGAGCGGCGGACGGGUGAGUAAUGCCUAGGAAUCUGCCUGGUAGUGGGGGAUAACGUUCGGAAACGGACGCUAAUACCGCAUACGUCCUACGGGAGAAAGCAGGGGACCUUCGGGCCUUGCGCUAUCAGAUGAGCCUAGGUCGGAUUAGCUAGUUGGUGAGGUAAUGGCUCACCAAGGCGACGAUCCGUAACUGGUCUGAGAGGAUGAUCAGUCACACUGGAACUGAGACACGGUCCAGACUCCUACGGGAGGCAGCAGUGGGGAAUAUUGGACAAUGGGCGAAAGCCUGAUCCAGCCAUGCCGCGUGUGUGAAGAAGGUCUUCGGAUUGUAAAGCACUUUAAGUUGGGAGGAAGGGCAGUAAAUUAAUACUUUGCUG